UUGGCCUACGGGGCGCAGCAGUGGGGAAUAUUGCACAAUGGGGGAAACCCUGAUGCAGCGACGCCGCGUGAGUGAAGAAGUAUUUCGGUACGUAAAGCUCUAUCAGCAGGGAAGAAAGAAAGUCCUUUGGACUUUGGACGGUACCUGACCAAGAAGCCCCGGCUAACUACGUGCCAGCAGCCGCGGUAAUACGUAGGGGGCAAGCGUUAUCCGGAUUUACUGGGUGUAAAGGGAGCGUAGGUGGCAGGGCAAGUCAGAUGUGAAAACCCGGGGCUCAACUCCGGGAGUGCAUUUGAAACUGUCCA
This 305-nucleotide ribosomal RNA is filed under the name uncultured bacterium. RNAcentral's name for it is "bacterial SSU rRNA". It matches the Rfam family "Bacterial small subunit ribosomal RNA", at positions 334 to 639 of the family's 1533-position model. The record is from RNAcentral.